CCCCGGUAAACGGCGGCCGUAACUAUAACGGUCCUAAGGUAGCGAAAUUCCUUGUCGGGUAAGUUCCGACCUGCACGAAUGGCGUAAUGAUGGCCAGGCUGUCUCCACCCGAGACUCAGUGAAAUUGAACUCGCUGUGAAGAUGCAGUGUACCCGCGGCAAGACGGAAAGACCCCGUGAACCUUUACUAUAGCUUGACACUGAACACUGGUCCUUGAUGUGUAGGAUAGGUGGGAGGCUUUGAAGUGUGGACGCCAGUCUGCAUGGAGCCGUCCUUGAAAUACCACCCUU
Molecule: ribosomal RNA, 290 nt
Filed under: Klebsiella oxytoca
Lineage: Bacteria; Pseudomonadati; Pseudomonadota; Gammaproteobacteria; Enterobacterales; Enterobacteriaceae
Description: partial 23S ribosomal RNA
Rfam family: Bacterial large subunit ribosomal RNA
Source: RNAcentral